GGAUCAUCUGAUAAAUUUUCCUUUUUGCAUUAUGUACGUCUCAUCAACCAACAAAGUAAAAAAACAAAAAAAAAAAUGUAAGAAAAGAAAUCCAACAGGGAGGCAUAUGUGCUCAAGUCGAACUCGAAUUCGAAAGGGGCCCAUAUAUCAAGAUGCUAAAACAGCUGAUAGUGUGAGGAGUAAAGGCAGUAAUUGGGGACAUCUAAGCAUUUCUGAAAAUCUUGGGGGCAGUGGAUAUUUAAGCUAACAACUAGAGGGGCAUCUGAUAAUUUCAUCCUUAACGCCACUCUUGGAGCAACGGAGUUUUUGGCAUUGCCGUUGAACAAAAAUGUCAUUUCCUGUAUAUGCGUUGUUGAAUUGCCAACUGAUUUGACGCGUUCAAUUGUGGAACAGUUGACUUCCCUAGCACAUGGAAUUGAGUGGCACGCAACUGCUGGAAAAGAAAAAGGAAAUUGAAAGGAAGAGUGAUCUUUAAAGAAUAAUAUCAACAAAAUGUAACAAAGAGUUUUGUCCUUCUAUUUAAUCUGGGGAUUUUUUUUUUAAAAUAAACUGAAAUCAUUAAAGUAAAAUCGUGCCGGUAUCUUAUUUAAUAAAUUCUAAAAUAAGUGAUAAUAAUAAAUUCAAAAGGACUACAUUAGAAUUAGAUGGUAAAAUAAUACAAGAUUAAAUAGUUAUCAGCCUACAUUAUGUUAUCUUUGAUUUUUCAAAAAAUCAGCAAAUAUCGAAUAAAGACCAUGCAAGUUUAAGCUUUCUAUUGAAUAGUAUCUCUCACGGUCCACUUUCGAUGCUUAGAGAUGACAAUAAAUAAAUAAAUAAUGGGAUUUUCUUCAUUUGCAAGAUAAGUUCAAUGGGUCAUCAUGCACUACCAUUGACAUUUGUUCAAUUUUGCAUAAGAUAUCAUCUUUAAUAAUAUAAAUAGGGGAGAAGUUAUUUGAACUCACACUAUAAUACACAAUAAGUUCAUAUAACUAAUAAAUUUACUAUUACACUAAAAUUUUCUUUUUUACUCUAUAAACCCAUUUAAAUUCCUAAUAUAUCCUAAUAAAUAUUUUUAACUUCUUUUAUUUGUUUCCUAUAAUAGAUUUCUUAACAAAUCAUCUUUUUUGCAAUGACUUUUUCUUUUUCUUAAGUGAACUCUUAUUUUUAUCAUGAAAUGCUGUAUACAAAGACAUAAGGAAGAAUACUUCACAAUUCACAUUUAAUUAAACUAAUUAUAUUUGAAUUAUAUUGAACAAAAUGAUUAAAAAUGAGUUUGUAAUCUUUAGAUCCUUCUGAAUAAAAUUUUUCUAAAUUAAAAUAUUCAAUGGAAAACUCAAAAAGAAACUUCAAAAUAACGAAUAUGAUAAAGACCAGAGAACAAUUGCAGAGAGGAAGUAGAAAAUGUGAAAAAAUAAAUAAACAUUUAUUUAACUAUAAAGAGAAAAGUUGUAAAGCAUAAAUAUUGGUUAUUUUAGUAAUUUAAGUUUGGAUAUCUUUGUAAUAAAAAUUUUAUUAAAAAACAGGUGUAAAGAAUAUUACCGUGGGACCUUCCAUAAAUAAAUGGCAUGGACAAGUAUGCACCCAAAGAAAUGAAGCUUCCUAACUCUUCAAUAUUCCUAUCACUUGGCUUUUUCCUAUUAUCAUCAUUUCAUUGGAUAGCUUCGGCAGAUCCUACUCAUCAAAUUUUUUUUCAAUGCCUUUCUCUAUAGUCGUCUCUCUUGGAGAAUUCCA
RNAcentral lists this long non-coding RNA (1710 nucleotides) under Citrus x clementina. Its description in RNAcentral is "Citrus clementina (C. clementina) long non-coding RNA (CCLE_LNC005673)". The record is from RNAcentral. Lineage: Eukaryota; Viridiplantae; Streptophyta; Magnoliopsida; Sapindales; Rutaceae.